Molecule: long non-coding RNA, 1207 nt
Organism: Tympanuchus pallidicinctus (lesser prairie-chicken)
Lineage: Eukaryota; Metazoa; Chordata; Aves; Galliformes; Phasianidae
Exons: 3
Source: RefSeq, a predicted model, not a curated record
CGUGCACUGGCAUUGCAGCUCAGCUAUGUUAUUGGCCGUUAAAUUAUCCGCUCCCUUUCUAAAUCUGGUCACAGGACUCGACUUUGCAGACUUUGGCAGGGGUGAAUUCCACAGGAUGGAGCAGGGGUGAAGUGCAGGGAGACGGAGCAGCUCACGUGGUGGCACUUCUGUUCCCCUCCUGCUGCAGCUGGGUGCUCACCUUCCCAUUGCCUUCCCUGGCCCUAGAAACUUACUGAAGAUGCACAAGAAAGAAAUUACAAAAUGCUGAUCUCACAGCCUGUCUCAGUAUUUCAUUUUGAUAAUGCUGACCUGGUCUGUUACGAGACUGGUGAAUUGCUUCAUUUUGGUGACACAGAGGGCUUUUAUUUUGAAAACGCCACGACAUCACAGUUUGUCAUAAAGUGAAAUAUAAUGUGAGAAAUGUCAAAUGGCUUCGGAAGCAGCAGCCUGUAAAACACAAGUCAAAUCUGAAUGAAUCAAAAUAAUACAGCGGAUAGAUGCAUUUUGUUUACCAAAAAGGAUUAUUUAAAACAUCACUGAAAUGAAAUGGGACUGAAUGAAUGGCGCUGAAAUGAAAUUCAGCACUUCUCAGUGAUGUUUCCUAGCAUUCCCAGAUUUCAAUGAAACGCUGCUCUGGCUGUAAAUCUGUUAUCUUAAACCUCCUCACUGCUCAGCUCUCACUCUUUUCUAUAGUGACACACUGUUGUCUCAUAAUUCAUUUAACUUGGGAUUUUGUCUUUCUUCCACCGUCUAAAAUACAGAUAGAAUUUCCAAGGUAGUUCUGGACACUCACAAGAUUCUGGUCAAAGAGAGACAGGAUCCUCCAUGGAUUCAUUUCACCCUCACGUGGUGCUUGAGUAUCUAGGAUGAAUCACCUAACAUGGAGGCUGGGAUGACUUUCCUGCAGCUGCCUCAGUUUGCUUGGGAGAACGUGUCUUGCUGAUGUGAGUGGUUUGGGUCACCUGAGGAUGACCCAAUUCCAUGGGCUGGAGCAGAGUGUGACCUGUCAACAACAACAGGACACAGCAAGUCUUCAGCAGGACGGACACCUCCUGGCUGCACCGCAGCACGGAUAGGAAAGGCACAUCUGACACUCAGGGGUGGAUAACAGACAACGUCCCAGUGCACACCUCCCCACAGAUGGAGUAGCUUCACCAGGAGGCUUUGGUGUUGGAUGCAGGAGUCCCUGGGUGUAGACUUUCCAUGU